UUCAAGGCCCGCCUCCUUCAAGGUCCUGACUGGUUCACGGCAAAUGUGGGUCGGGGCCUAAGGGAAGGCAUUGAGGUUUGAAGGCUGAGAGCUGCCCGGAGAGAAGCAAGAGGUGUCCCAGGGGGAGGGGCCUGACAUGGGUCCUGCUGGGGGCCACGGCCAAGGCUGCCCCCGUGCCCCGUUUGGCCAGCACGAGGCACCUGCUGAUCCAAGGAAAGGAGGGGUCUGAGCAUAAAGCCGGUUCUCCUUCUCCAGGGACUUCAGAAUGCUGGUGGGUGUGCUGACCCAGGAGGUGGGCUGCCAGUGCCCUGGACUGCAAGGCCGCAUCCACGGGAAGGAGUCUACUGUGUGAGCAGGUUGAGUGAAUGCUCCCCGAGGCCUUCAGUGCUCUCUGCUCCCCUGAGCCUGUGGUAGGUGGCUCCCAGCACCCAGAGCUUCUCUUUGGCACACCCCUACCCACACUAUUUGUUGUCUGUGCCUACAGGCUGUAACUAGAGCUGUGUCUCACUCAUCUCUGUAUAGUCCCUGUGCCUGGCUGGUUUAGGCUUUCAGUAACUGGAUGGAUAGAUGGAUGGAUGAAGGAAUGCCCCAAGGAACAGAAACCUGAAGUAACUACCCCAGCAUUGCCUCUUCUCGUUGCUCCCAUGUUCAUGUCUGCUGCAUCCCAGGGGACUGGUUAGUUGUGUGGGUCUGUGAUUGUCAGGUGGGAGACCACUGCCCUCCUGAGCUGGCCCUGGACCAGAACCACACAGCAGCUGACCUCCUGGCCCAGGCUGUGCAUGAACAGCCUGGGGCACCUGCCCUGCUCACUCACCAGCUGAGCAUCUGGAUUGACCCCACUGGCAACAGUGAGGAGGCUGGGACAGGAGCCAGGCAAGGUUGGGGAGAAGGAGGGGCCAGAAGUCCGGCCCAAGGAGCAGGGAAAGGAACAGGCAAGAACUGGGGCAGAGCGCUGCGGAUGGAGCCUGGGCAGUGGAGGGGGUUCUGGGGAAGGCCCUGGGGCUUGAAACGGGGCUCUGGGCUGAGACCAAGGUGGGAAGGAGGGAUGCAAGGAGGCUGAAUUGUCCCUCCCAACACUUUCCUUGGCCACGUCAGGUGGUGUGGAGUCCAGAUAUUUCUCAAAGCAAAAUCACUUUCAUUCUCAUGUUACCCCAAAACAGGGUAGG
Herpailurus yagouaroundi (jaguarundi) is the source of this 1166-nucleotide long non-coding RNA. RefSeq lists it as uncharacterized. NCBI's taxonomy places the organism in Eukaryota, Metazoa, Chordata, Mammalia, Carnivora, Felidae. The transcript has 3 exons. The record is from RefSeq and is a predicted model, not a curated record.